CCUACGGGAGGCAGCCGUGGGGAAUAUUGCACAAUGGGGGAAACCCUGAUGCAGCGACGCCGCGUGAGUGAAGAAGUAUUUCGGUACGUAAAGCUCUAUCAGCAGGGAAGAAAAUGACGGUACCUGACUAAGAAGCCCCGGCUAACUACGUGCCAGCAGCCGCGGUAAUACGUAGGGGGCAAGCGUUAUCCGGAUUUACUGGGUGUAAAGGGAGCGUAGACGGCAGCGCAAGUCUGGAGUGAAAUCCCAUGGCUUAACCAUGGAACUGCUUUGGAAACUGUGCAGCUAGAGUGCAGGAGAGGGAAGCGGAAUGCCUAGUGUAGCGGUGAAAUGCGUAGAUAUUAGGAGGAACACCAGUGGCGAAGGCGGCUUACUGGACUGUAACUGACGUUGAGGCUCGAAAGCGUGGGGAGCAAACAGGAUUAGAUACCCCGGUAGUC
This 440-nucleotide ribosomal RNA is filed under the name uncultured bacterium. RNAcentral's name for it is "partial 16S ribosomal RNA". It matches the Rfam family "Bacterial small subunit ribosomal RNA", at positions 338 to 795 of the family's 1533-position model. The record is from RNAcentral.